This 506-nucleotide ribosomal RNA is filed under the name uncultured bacterium. RNAcentral's name for it is "partial 16S ribosomal RNA". It matches the Rfam family "Bacterial small subunit ribosomal RNA", at positions 28 to 523 of the family's 1533-position model. The record is from RNAcentral.
GACGAACGCUAGCUACAGGCUUAACACAUGCAAGUCGAGGGGUAACGAGAGGAAAGCUUGCUUUCCUUGUCGACGACCGGCGCACGGGUGAGUAACGCGUAUCCAACCUGCCCCCAACUAGGGAAUAACCUUGCGAAAGUAAGACUAAUACCCUAUAAUUUCCUCAGAUGACAUCUGACGAGGAAUAAAGAUUUAUCGGUUGUGGAUGGGGAUGCGUCUGAUUAGCUUGUUGGCGGGGUAACGGCCCACCAAGGCAACGAUCAGUAGGGGUUCUGAGAGGAAGGUCCCCCACAUUGGAACUGAGACACGGUCCAAACUCCUACGGGAGGCAGCAGUGAGGAAUAUUGGUCAAUGGGCGGAAGCCUGAACCAGCCAAGUAGCGUGCAGGAUGACGGCCCUAUGGGUUGUAAACUGCUUUUAUACAGGGAUAAAGUUAGCCACGUGUGGUUAUUUGUAGGUACUGUAUGAAUAAGGACCGGCUAAUUCCGUGCCAGCCGCCGCAGUAA